AGUCAUCAACCCCUCCCGUUUCGUGCGGAGAGGUGAGUUGGAGCUGGGGGCUUGCGGCCGAGAGGUUGCUCCCCUCAAAUGCUUCGGUUGGGCCUGUGGGUCGAACUCGGUUGGGCGUUGUAACAACCUCGCUCUCGUCUGAGAAGUUCCCCUGUCAUCGUGCCCCUCCACGACCGUCCGUCUGUGCGGCGGUCAAAACAAACUUUGAA
Molecule: unclassified non-coding RNA, 209 nt
Filed under: uncultured Trechispora
Lineage: Eukaryota; Fungi; Basidiomycota; Agaricomycetes; Polyporales; Polyporaceae
Description: sequence contains ITS2
Source: RNAcentral